AGAUUCCAGGCCUCGGACGGACAGCCAAUCCAACCCAAGGGGCCGAAACUAUGGCUUCCUGUACAUGCGAACUCUUCUUCCAACAUUAGGAACAGAGCUGUCGUGAAGUAUUUUGAUCUCACGUUACAUGAGAGGUAAACCCCGUGCUUCAAGCGCUAAAUAGGGACGUUGAACCCAAAGGCAGCUCUUGGAAACUUUAAAUGGCAAUUAUUGAUAAGUUUCCCAAAGGCGCUGCUCUUUAUGUCGUCAACAUUGCCCUGCAGUAGGUUGAGAAGUUGAUUACGAUUAUCCUGCAAAGAGUUCUAGACUCGCUCUUUCAUGCUGGUAAUACGCCGAAGCGCUUUCCCCUGGUGCACCAUGUUGAGGACUGGAAAGCUCAAUUUAGGCUAUCCGUCAAACCUGCAAGGUCAGUGUGUUCACUUGAGGAGCUCGAUUCAAGAGCUUCACUGUGACGCGAGCGGCGAGACAAAUUGAUUACAGGAAUACAGAUAUCUCACUACGUUGAAGGCAAACAUCUUGCAUUAGUUUCAAAGACCUCUCAUCCAUAACUGAAAUAAAUAAAUAAAUAAAUAAAUAAAUAAAUAAUAAACUAUUGAUCUAACUCAGAGAGGGAGCUUCGACUAAGGAAUUAAAAUAUUGAUAUGAGCAGGCUAUGAAUUCAUGAAGGCGCAAAUACAAACACAAGAUUAAAUACUCAAAUCAAGCCAUGUCAAGAAGUCCAACAACGGACAACUAAUUCAAACUCCGUCCAACAUUUCUUACUUACAGAAAUCAGCUCUUGCUCGGCGAGAACGCC
RNAcentral lists this long non-coding RNA (796 nucleotides) under Physcomitrium patens. RNAcentral's name for it is "long non-coding RNA (PPAT_LNC010806)". Lineage: Eukaryota; Viridiplantae; Streptophyta; Bryopsida; Funariales; Funariaceae. The record is from RNAcentral.